Molecule: ribosomal RNA, 480 nt
Filed under: uncultured bacterium
Lineage: Bacteria
Description: partial 16S ribosomal RNA
Rfam family: Bacterial small subunit ribosomal RNA
Source: RNAcentral
GAUGAACGCUAGCGGCAGGCCUAACACAUGCAAGUCGAGGGGGAGGUUACUUUCGGGUAACUGAGACCGGCGUACGGGUGCGUAACGCGUAUACAAUCUGCCUUUCACUGGGGGAUAGCCCGAAGAAAUUUGGAUUAAUACCCCAUAGUAUAGUAAUACGGCAUCGUGAUACUAUUAAAGCUUAGGUGGUGAAAGAUGAGUAUGCGUUCUAUUAGCUAGUUGGAGAGGUAACGGCUCCCCAAGGCGAUGAUAGAUAGGGGUUCUGAGAGGGAUGUCCCCCACACUGGUACUGAGAUACGGACCAGACUCCUACGGGAGGCAGCAGUGAGGAAUAUUGGACAAUGGUCGGAAGACUGAUCCAGCCAUGCCGCGUGCAGGAUGAAGGUCUUAUGGAUUGUAAACUGCUUUUGUAAGGGAAGAAUAAGGGCUACGCGUAGUUUGAUGACGGUACCUUACGAAUAAGCAUCGGCUAACUCCGUG